RNAcentral lists this ribosomal RNA (236 nucleotides) under uncultured bacterium. RNAcentral describes it as "partial 16S ribosomal RNA". It matches the Rfam family "Bacterial small subunit ribosomal RNA", at positions 219 to 454 of the family's 1533-position model. The record is from RNAcentral.
GAUUGGAGCGGCCGAUGUCGGAUUAGCUAGUUGGUGGGGUAAAGGCCUACCAAGGCGACGAUCCGUAGCUGGUCUGAGAGGACGACCAGCCACACUGGAACUGAGACACGGUCCAGACUCCUACGGGAGGCAGCAGUGGGGAAUUUUGGACAAUGGGGGCAACCCUGAUCCAGCCAUUCCGCGUGAGUGAAGAAGGCCUUCGGGUUGUAAAGCUCUUUCGGCAGGAACGAAACGGU